This 253-nucleotide ribosomal RNA is filed under the name uncultured bacterium. RNAcentral describes it as "partial 16S ribosomal RNA". It matches the Rfam family "Bacterial small subunit ribosomal RNA", at positions 524 to 776 of the family's 1533-position model. The record is from RNAcentral.
GACGUAGUGGGCCAGCGUUGCUCGGAAUUACUGGGUGUAAAGGGUUCGUAGGCGGUGUGGCAAGUCGGGAGUGAAAUCUCUGGGCUCAACCCAGAGUCUGCUUCCGAAACUGCUGUGCUUGAGUGUGGGAGAGGCGCGUGGAAUUGCAGGUGUAGCGGUGAAAUGCGUAGAUAUCUGCAGGAACACCCGGGGCGAAAGCGGCGCGCUGGACCACUACUGACGCUGAGGAACGAAAGCUAGGGGAGCAAACAGG